Molecule: non-coding RNA, 97 nt
Filed under: Chromera velia
Lineage: Eukaryota; Chromeraceae
Source: RNAcentral
GAACAGAAAAAAGGGAAGGCAUCAAUCGCAUCAUGUCAUGUCAUAUGUGACGUGGAUUCAUUCUCUUUCUUUUUUUCUUUCUUUCUUUCUUUCUUUC